AGUCAACAUGCCCAGAGGACGUGGAUAACCUCGGGAAACUGAGGAUAAACCGCGAUAGGCCAUAAUUACUGGAAUGGGUUAUGGCUUAAACCUAUAUGGCCUCUGGAUUGGACUGCGGCCGAUCAGGCUGUUGGUGAGGUAAUGGCCCACCAAACCUGUUACCGGUACGGGCUCUGAGAGGAGGAGCCCGGAGAUGGGCACUGAGACAAGGGCCCAGGCCCUAUGGGGCGCAGCAGGCGCGAAACCUCUGCAAUAGGCGAAAGCCUGACAGGGUUACUCUGAGUGAUUCCCGCUAAGGGGAUCUUUUGGCACCUCUAAAAAUGGUGCAGAAUAAGGGGUGGGCAAGUCUGGUGUCAGCCGCCGCGGUAAUACCAGCACCCCGAGUGGUCGGGACGAUUAUUGGGCCUAAAGCAUCCGUAGCCGGUCAUGCAAGUCCUCCGUUAAAUCCACCUGCUUAACAGAUGGGCUGCGGAGGAUACUACAAGGCUAGGAGGCGGAAGAGGCAGGCGGUACUCAGUGGGUAGGGGUAAAAUCCUCUGAUCCAUUGAAGACCACCAGUGGCGAAGGCGGCUUGCCAAUACGCGCUUGACGGUGAGGGAUGAAAGCUGGGGGAGCAAACCGGAUUAGAUACCCGGGUAGUCCCAGCUGUAAACGAUGCAGACUCGGUGAUGGGCCGGCUUUAUGCCGGCUCAGUGCCGCAGGGAAGCCGUUAAGUCUGCCGCCUGGGGAGUACGGUCGCAAGACUGAAACUUAA
This 754-nucleotide ribosomal RNA is filed under the name uncultured archaeon. Its description in RNAcentral is "bacterial SSU rRNA". It matches the Rfam family "Archaeal small subunit ribosomal RNA", at positions 102 to 859 of the family's 1478-position model. The record is from RNAcentral.